AACGAACGCUGGCGGCAGGCCUAACACAUGCAAGUCGAGCGGACAUCUUCGGAUGUUUGCGGCGGACGGGUGAGUAACGCGUGGGAACGUGCCCUUUGCUUCGGAAUAGCCUCGGGAAACUGGGAGUAAUACCGGAUGUACCCUUUGGGGGAAAGAUUUAUCGGCAAAGGAUCGGCCCGCGUUGGAUUAGGUAGUUGGUGGGGUAAUGGCCUACCAAGCCGACGAUCCAUAGCUGGUUUGAGAGGAUGAUCAGCCACACUGGGACUGAGACACGGCCCAGACUCCUACGGGAGGCAGCAGUGGGGAAUCUUAGACAAUGGGGGAAACCCUGAUCUAGCCAUGCCGCGUGAGCGAUGAAGGCCUUAGGGUUGUAAAGCUCUUUCACCGGGGAAGAUAAUGACGGUACCCGGAGAAGAAGCCCCGGCUAACUCCGUG
This 435-nucleotide ribosomal RNA is filed under the name uncultured bacterium. Its description in RNAcentral is "partial 16S ribosomal RNA". It matches the Rfam family "Bacterial small subunit ribosomal RNA", at positions 29 to 507 of the family's 1533-position model. The record is from RNAcentral.